Anser cygnoides (Swan goose) is the source of this 1591-nucleotide long non-coding RNA. Lineage: Eukaryota; Metazoa; Chordata; Aves; Anseriformes; Anatidae. The record is from Ensembl.
CGCCAGCGCCUGCUGCAGCGGCCCCGCGCGCCCGCUCAGCUCGUCGCGGAAGGCCGCGUGCUGGCUCAGCAGGCGCAGGGAGCUGGUCAGGUCCCUGCCCACGUCCUCGGAGGAGAGGAGCCGCUCCUGCUCCCGCAUCCAGGCCUCCUCCUCCCCCGUGUCCCAGAAGAACUUCCAGAAGCGCCGCGACUCCUCCAGCUUGGCCCGCCGCUGCCCCGCCAGCUCCACCAGCUCCCGGUACCGCAGCUCCAGCGUGGCCACGCGCUCCCGCACCACCUCCGGCUCGCAGGGCUUGUAGCCUGCGGGCAGCUCCGUCAGCUCCCUGCGCCUCUGCGGCUCCGGCUGCGGCCACCAGGCCGGGCUCGGGGGUCUCGGGGGGGGUGCCCUGGCCUCCCCCCGCCACCGCGGGCCGCACUCACCCUCUCCGGGCAGGGCGAAGCGCUGGGCCGCGGCGCUCACCGCCCGCACCCGCUCCGCCUGCGCCGCGAUGUCGGCCUCCACCAGCGCGUGGAUCUGCAGCAGGUCGUCCACCCCGUGCAGGUGCGCCAGGUCCUGCAGCAUCUUCUGCAGCUCGAGGUGCAGCAGCAGCCGCUCGCGGCGGGCGGCCACCAGCUGCCGCAGGAAGUCCCAGAGCCGCGCCACGUUGUCGCGGCGGGCCAGGACGCGGCGGACGUCGUGGUAGCGCUCGGCCUCCAGCUCGGCCGCCACCGCGCUCACCGCCUGCACCCGCUCGCUGUAGGCCACGAUGUCGGUCUCGAUGGCCUCGUGCUUGCGCACCGCCGCCUCCACGGCCGACAUGUCGCUCCCGAAGUUGUCCUGGGGGGCGAGCCGCCAGCUGCUCCAGCUUCUCCUGCCGGAUCAGCUCGGUGCGCAGCGCCAGCUCCCGCUCGUGCUCCGCUUUCUCCAGCCGCUCCCAGGCCUGCGGGGACGGGCACCGGGACGGGGGUGGGGGUCGGCUCCCGGCACGGCCGCGGCGCCGCCCCCCCUCCUCGCCAAACCUUGUUGAUGUCGGAGAUGAGCUUCCCCUCGCGCGGCACGAACACCUUCUGGUUGUUGGCGCGCAUGCGGCUCUGGAUGGUGAAGAGCAGCACCUCCAGGUUGCCCUUCUCCAUGAACCUGGGGGCGCGGAGGCGGCGCUGAGCCCCCGGGGGGGGUCUGCGGCCCUGCUGGGGCUGGGGGGGGGCGCGGAUCCCACCGGGGGCUGGGGGAGGGGGCUCACUUGGGGGGCUUCUCCACCGUGCGGUAGGUGUUGAAGGCCUGCAGCUGGUUCUGCACGCCGGGCAGCGCGUUGGCCAGCUGCCGGUCGUUGAGGGUGAGGAUGGUCCGCUCGAUCCAGCCCAGCAGCUCGCCCGCCAGCGUCUCGUACUUCUCCACCAGCUGCUCCGCCUCCAGCGCCGCGUCCAGCACCUGCGGGCGUCCAUCCCUCUGUCCGUCCGUCUGUCCGUCCGUCCGCCCGCCCAUCUGCUGCCUCUCCGCUCAUCCCGGCGGCCAUCUGGCCGAGCCGCCCCGCCUCGCCUUCCCCGUCCAGCUGUCCGUCUGCCCGCCUGUCGCCCGCCCCCCCUUCCUCGAGCUGCUCCUCUCGAGCGUCCUC